AACCAUUCUCACCUGCGGCUAGACCUGCGGAGGGAUCAUUACCGAGUGCGGGUCCUCGUGGCCCAACCUCCCACCCGUGACUAUUGUACCUUGUUGCUUCGGCGGGCCCGCCAGCCCUGCUGGCCGCCGGGGGGCGUCUCGCCCCCGGGCCCGUGCCCGCCGGAGACCCCAACAUGAACCCUGUUCUGAGAGCUUGCAGUCUGAGUGUGAUUCUUUGCAAUCAGUUAAAACUUUCAACAA
Molecule: unclassified non-coding RNA, 240 nt
Filed under: soil metagenome
Description: partial contains 5.8S ribosomal RNA, internal transcribed spacer 2, and large subunit ribosomal RNA
Source: RNAcentral